GAGUAACACGUGGAUAACCUACCUAUAAGACUGGGAUAACUUCGGGAAACCGGAGCUAAUACCGGAUAAUAUUUUGAACCGCAUGGUUCAAAAGUGAAAGACGGUCUUGCUGUCACUUAUAGAUGGAUCCGCGCUGCAUUAGCUAGUUGGUAAGGUAACGGCUUACCAAGGCAACGAUGCAUAGCCGACCUGAGAGGGUGAUCGGCCACACUGGAACUGAGACACGGUCCAGACUCCUACGGGAGGCAGCAGUAGGGAAUCUUCCGCAAUGGGCGAAAGCCUGACGGAGCAACGCCGCGUGAGUGAUGAAGGUCUUCGGAUCGUAAAACUCUGUUAUUAGGGAAGAACAUAUGUGUAAGUAACUGUGCACAUCUUGACGGUACCUAAUCAGAAAGCCACGGCUAACUACGUGCCAGCAG
Molecule: ribosomal RNA, 419 nt
Filed under: Staphylococcus aureus
Lineage: Bacteria; Bacillati; Bacillota; Bacilli; Caryophanales; Staphylococcaceae
Description: bacterial SSU rRNA
Rfam family: Bacterial small subunit ribosomal RNA
Source: RNAcentral